GAACUCCUACGGGGCGCAGCAGUAGGGAAUUUUCGUCAAUGGGCGCAAGCCUGAACGAGCAAUGCCGCGUGAACGAGGAAGGUCUUCGGAUCGUAAAGUUCUGUUGAAGGGGAAAAAGAGCGGAGAGAGGAAAUGGUCUCCGAUUGAUAUUACCCUUCGAGGAAGUCACGGCUAACUACGUGCCAGCAGCCGCGGUAAUACGUAGGUGGCGAGCGUUAUCCGGGAGGAUUGGGCGGAAAGGGUGCGUAGGCGGCCUGCUAAGUCUGGAGUGAAAGG
Molecule: ribosomal RNA, 276 nt
Filed under: uncultured bacterium
Lineage: Bacteria
Description: partial 16S ribosomal RNA
Rfam family: Bacterial small subunit ribosomal RNA
Source: RNAcentral